GUGAACGCUGGCGGUAGGCCUAACACAUGCCAGUCGAACGGCAGCACAGUAAGAGCUUGCUCUUACGGGUGGCGAGUGGCGGACGGGUGAGGAAUACAUCGGAAUCUACUUUUUCGUGGGGGAUAACGUAGGGAAACUUACGCUAAUACCGCAUACGACCUACGGGUGAAAGCAGGGGAUCUUCGGACCUUGCGCGAUUGAAUGAGCCGAUGUCGGAUUAGCUAGUUGGCGGGGUAAAGGCCCACCAAGGCGACGAUCCGUAGCUGGUCUGAGAGGAUGAUCAGCCACACUGGAACUGAGACACGAUCCAGACUCCUACGGGAGGCAGCAGUGGGGAAUAUUGGACAAUGGGCGCAAGCCUGAUCCAGCCAUACCGCGUGGGUGAAGAAGGCCUUCGGGUUGUAAAGCCCUUUUGUUGGGAAAGAAAAGCAGCAGGUUAAUACCCCGCUGUUCUGACGGUACCCAAAGAAUAAGCACCGGCUAACUUCGUG
RNAcentral lists this ribosomal RNA (491 nucleotides) under uncultured bacterium. RNAcentral's name for it is "partial 16S ribosomal RNA". It matches the Rfam family "Bacterial small subunit ribosomal RNA", at positions 29 to 507 of the family's 1533-position model. The record is from RNAcentral.